Ictalurus punctatus (channel catfish) is the source of this 1469-nucleotide long non-coding RNA. NCBI's taxonomy places the organism in Eukaryota, Metazoa, Chordata, Actinopteri, Siluriformes, Ictaluridae. The record is from Ensembl.
GUUACUAUUGUGUGUGUGUUAUGGUUUGGCUAGGGUUACUAUUUGGUGAGUGUUAUGGUGGGACUAGGGUUACUUUAAUGCUAGUGUUAGGGUUGGGCUAGGGCUGCUAUAAUGCUUGUGUCAGGCUUGAUCUAGGAUGACUAUUGUUCUAGAGUUAGGGUUUGGUUAGGGUUACUAUUAUGCGAGUGUUAGGGUUGUGCUAGAGUUACUAUUAUGCGAGUGUUAGGGUUGGGCUAGUGUUACUAUUAUGCUAGUUUUAGGGUUGGUCUAGGGUUACUAAUGUGCUAGAGUUAGGGUUUGGCUAGGGUUACCAUAAUGCGUGUGUUAGUUUUGGGAUGGGUUUACUAUUAUGUUAGAGUUAGGGUUGGGCUAGGGCUACUAUAAUGCAAUGCGUAGGGUUUGGCUAGGGUUACUAUUAUGCUAGGGUUAAGGUUGAUCUAAGUUUACAAUUAUGCUAGGGUUACUACUGUGCUAGAGAUACGGUUUGGCUAGGGUUACUAUAAUACUAGUGUUAGGGUUGCGCUAUUGUUACUAUUGUUCUAAUGUCAGGUGUUGGCUAGGGUAACUCAAAAGCGAUGGUUUGGGUUUGGCUAGUGUUUCUAUUUUGAUAGUGUUAGGGUUGGUCUAGGGUUACUGUAAUGCGAGUGCUAUGGUUUGAUAGGGUUACUUUAAUGUAAGUGUAAGGAUUUGGCUAGGUUUACUAUUAUGCUAGUGUUAGUGUUGGGUUAAGUUAACUAUUAUAACAGGGUUAGGGUUUGGGUAGGGUUACUGUUUUUGUAGUUUUAGGGUUUGGCUAGGGUUAGUAUAAUAAGACCGUUGGGGUUUGGCUAGGGCUACUAUAAUGCGAGUGUUAGGGUUUGGCUUGGGUUACUAUUAUGCUAAUGUUAUGGUUGGGCAAGGGUUACUAUUAUGCUAGGGUUAGUGUUACGCUCGGGUUACUAUUAUGAUAGUGUUAGGGUUGGUCUUUGGUUACUAUUGUACUAUAGUUAAGGUUUGGCCAGGGUUACUAUAAUGUGAGUGUUAGGGUUUGGCCAGGGUUACUAUUAUGCUAGUGUUAGGGUCUGGCUAGGGUUACUAUAAUGCGAGUGGUAGGGUUUGGCUAGGGUUACUUAAUGCAAUCAAGCACAGUAAUAUCAUGGUCAGCAAACCAGUUACUCAUAGUUUUGGCACUGUGGACAGGUGCUAAGUCUUGCUGGAAAAGAAAAUCAGCAUCUCCUUAAAGCUUGUCCGCAGUUGGAAGGAUGAAGUGCUCUAAAGUCUCCUGGUAGAUAGCUGCAUUGACUCUUUACUUGAGAAAACCCAGUGGACCAACACCAGCAGAUAACAUGGCACCCCAAAUAAUCACUGACUGUGGAAACUUCUCACUGGACUUCGAUUCUGUGACUCUCCACUCUUCCUCCAGACUCUGGGACCUCGAUUUCCAAAUGAAAUGCAAAUUUACUUUCAUCUUCCCCACAAUUGUGUUUGUG